AGUUUCAUUUGCCAUAAUUACACUUGCCAUAAUAUCUUUGCCAUAAGAAACACUUGCCAUAAGUUACACUUGCCAUGAAUAACAUUUGCCAAAAGUUACACUUGCUAUAAUGGUUACACUUGCCAUAAUCACACUUUCUAUAAUUACUUUUGUCCUAAUUUUCUAAUUUUUAAAAAGAUGAAAAUCUGUCUUUUUUUUAAAUGCGGGAAAUUUUCCCAUGAAAAUUCCCAACUUUACUUCUCUCAUUGCUUUAUAACAGAACAGUUGACACAAGUUCAACUCCAUAUUGUCUCACAAUGGAGGACCCUUUGGUGACCUUCGAGACCACAAAAUGUGGUUUCGAAAAAAAAUUCUGAGGAAAAUUAUUUGGUUUACUAAGGGAACAAAAUGGAUUUGAAGUUUAUAAGGUGCUUUUAGACAACUCAAAAAUUAGAGAGGGUUCAGAAAAUGUGAUAAUAUCAAGAUCCACGUGUUAGACUGAAAGUUCAAUGCCCCGUAUCCGUUCUAUCUCAUUUCGGUGAAUCUUGUGGAACUUGUUUUAGGCAGCCAGGUAUCGUCUUCCACAAUGCUUUACAUAUAAGGGAAUAUUAUUACAAAGAAAAUUUAGUUAAUAAGAUGAGCAAACCUCAGAAAAAUAUCAGAUAUGAAAAGUAGCUUGGCUUUCGUUCAAAGACUUUAAAUAAAAACUCUAAAAUGCUAA
Molecule: long non-coding RNA, 700 nt
Organism: Eurytemora carolleeae
Lineage: Eukaryota; Metazoa; Arthropoda; Copepoda; Calanoida; Temoridae
Exons: 3
Source: RefSeq, a predicted model, not a curated record